RNAcentral lists this ribosomal RNA (468 nucleotides) under uncultured bacterium. RNAcentral's name for it is "partial 16S ribosomal RNA". It matches the Rfam family "Bacterial small subunit ribosomal RNA", at positions 28 to 507 of the family's 1533-position model. The record is from RNAcentral.
GACGAAUGCUGGCGGCGUGCUUAACACAUGCAAGUCGAACGGAAAGGCCCUGCUUUUGUGGGGUGCUCGAGUGGCGAACGGGUGAGUAACACGUGAGUAACCUGCCCUUGACUUUGGGAUAACUUCAGGAAACUGGGGCUAAUACCGGAUAGGAGCUCCUGCUGCAUGGUGGGGGUUGGAAAGUUUCGGCGGUUGGGGAUGGACUCGCGGCUUAUCAGCUUGUUGGUGGGGUAGUGGCUUACCAAGGCUUUGACGGGUAGCCGGCCUGAGAGGGUGACCGGCCACAUUGGGACUGAGAUACGGCCCAGACUCCUACGGGAGGCAGCAGUGGGGAAUAUUGCACAAUGGGCGGAAGCCUGAUGCAGCAACGCCGCGUGCGGGAUGGCGGCCUUCGGGUUGUAAACCGCUUUCGCCUGUGACGAAGCGUGAGUGACGGUAAUGGGUAAAGAAGCACCGGCUAACUACGUG